This is a long non-coding RNA of Suricata suricatta (meerkat), 1717 nucleotides long. The record is from Ensembl. NCBI's taxonomy places the organism in Eukaryota, Metazoa, Chordata, Mammalia, Carnivora, Herpestidae.
CUAAAUGGUUGCUUCCUUCCAAGCAACAUAAGCCACAAAUAUGUGAACGGGGCGUCAUGACUUUACUGCAUGCUGAUAUUAAUUCUCAGGCCAUCCAACAAGAGCCCUGUGACAGCCAUUCUUGGCCAGCAUCUUGACCACGAGCAUAGCAACCAGGGCCCAGACUCGAGACCCUGGCUUCUCCGACUGGAACAUUUAUUUCCUGGUGACUCAAUCACACCAUCCCAUCUUGUAAAUUUCCUGCCAGGCUCAGAGUCCGUACCUUCCGCACCGUGGAGGAGUGGACGUCCAUUUCUCGGGAGCAGCGGACUGCUUCUGGCAGAUAGUCAAGGCCCAAGGGGUCCUGGCGCUCUGGAGUGGACUGACAGCCAACUUGCUAAAGAUAGUUCCGUAUUUCGGAGUUAUGUUUGGCACCUUUGAGUUUUGCAAGAGAAUCUGUCUUUACCAAAAUGGUUACACUGUGUCUCCUCUGAGCUAUCAAUUGACUCCAGGGGUGGAUCAGAGUUUGAAGCCCCAGGAAUUGCGGGAAUUUAAAAAGUUCUUCAAAACCAGACAGCUAAAGUCUAAGAAACCAACCCUUUAAAACUGAACGGAACAAGAAGUGCACUGACGGAAGGCGUGUUACAAUCCUGGAAAAGAUGUGGCCUCGUAAUUGUGUGUGCGUGCAGUGACGAGAGCGUCUGCCUGUCUGCUGCUCUCGGAAGCGAGAAGGUUCGGCGGUAUACCACCUCUGAGUUCCAAACUGAUGUCCUGGUGAACAUCUGUGCCGUGGGAGGCUUCCCAGCGUGACUCUUGCAUGGCGGCAUGCCACCCAAUUUAACAAAGCACCACUGUAAUGAAAUGUGCAAUGUACGUGUGCAACUUAAAUAACACCAAAGAAAUGGAAUCACCAUGACCUCAAAACAAAAUGUAGUUGAAGUGGCUGAGGAGAGAUACCACAUCAUGAGCUCAGCCACUGGGUCACAGCUUGCACAAACCCACACUGGCCGAGCUUUGCUCCAUUCGACCCAAGACUUCUGCACAUAGUUGUUCUGAAACGCCUAAUCCUUGCUGACUCCUGAGUGCACACGCUAUAGUUUAAAUGAUGCCUUGGCAGAAACUAAAUGAAAGCCUUUAACAUUUGGGGCGCCUGGGUGGCUAAGUUGGUUAAGCAGCCAACUUCAGCUCAGUUCAUGAUCUCGCAGUUCAUGAGUUCAAGCCCCGUGUCGGGCUCUCUGCUGACAGCUAGCUCAGAGCCUGGAGCCUGCUUCAGAUUCUGUGUCUCCUAUUCUCUCUGCCCUUCCCCUGCUCACACUCUGUCUCUCUGUCUCUCAAAAAUAAAUAAACAUUAAAAAAAUUUUUAUUAAAUAAAUAAAACCUUUAACCUUUAAAAAUUAUCACUGUCAUAGUAGAACCAUCCUUGUUUAUUUCAAUUUGAAGUAUCUCGGGGCGCCUGGGUGGUUCAGUCGGUUGAGUGUCCGACUUCAGAUUGGGUCCUGAUCUCAAGGUUCACGAGUUCGAGCCCCGCAUCAGGCCCUGUGCUGACAGCUCGGAGCCUGGAGCCUGCUUCAGAUUCUGUGUCUCCCUCUCUCUGCCCCUCCCCUGCUUGCACUGUGUGUGUGUGUGUGUGUGUGUGUGUGUGUGUGUGUGUUAAAAAUAAAUAAACAUUUAAAAAAAUUUAAUUUGAAGUAUCUCAAGCUUAGGAAUUUCAGGAAUCUUGUUUCAAGAAGGCGGUUUU